CUCUCCCACCCCGGCAUGAGUCCCACCCAGACACAGGGCACACACCGCACUCACCUGUGCCUGGAGGACAACAUUUUCAGGUUGUUUUCUGGAGUAAGGGUCACCAUGACGCCCUGGACGUUCUUCGUGGCCUUCUCCAACGCAAAGCCCUUCUCACCUGAGGCCACGGCAAAAACAUCCCAGGACCCCAGAAGCUGGUGGAGGAGGAGCAGUUUCCUGACGCAACAUUUGAGGAGACAAAGAUGAAAGAAGAGAAUCACAGCAGAAGAGAGAUAAGGGAAGCAGACCCACCAAUGCUCCCUGCAUUGGAAUUACAAGGCAGGCUCUCGUAGUCCACUUGGGCUGAUAUCACAAAAAUACCACACACUGGGUGGCUUAUAAACAACAGGCAUUUAUUUCUCAGUUCUGGUAGCGAAAAGUUCUAGUCAGGGUGCUAGCAGGGUCAAGGAGGGCCUCUUGUGGGUCACAGACCUCUCACAGUGUCCUCAUGGUGGAAGGGGUAGGGAAGUUCUGCUGUGGGGUCUCUUUCAUAAGGGCAUGGAUUCCAUUCAAGAGGCUCCACCGUCAUGACCUAGUCCCCUUCCAAGGGCUCACUUCCCAGUGCGAUCGUACUGGGGGCUAGGACAUCAACAUGAGUAUUGGGGGUAGACACACACAUCAGGACCACACAGAUUGUGAAAACAGCUAUGAUCACCUUGCUUAACAAGAUGGGAGCCACAUUGAAAUUUUAUGGUAUUUUUGCAAUUCUCAUAAUACAGCUGGAAACCAUAAAAAGUGGUAUAGAUAAAAGACAUCUGUGUAACCCAAAAUAAUCUUACAGAUUGCAGAUUUGGAGAAAAAUAUAUACAGUAGGCUCUCAUGAGCCAGAAUGCACAGGUUGUUCUACAAAGGAGACAUCUUAAAUCCUGGGAAAAAAUUGAUUUUGGGCAAUAAAUCCGGACAACUAGAUAUCCAUUUAGAAGAAGAUUAAGAUGAAGCAUAUUCACCUCAUGCAUGGGAAUAAACAUGAAAUGGAUCAGAAAUCUCAAUGCUAAACAUGGAAAUGGAAUCAUAUGAGUAACAAAAGAAAUCACUGGUGGGUUUCUGUAUGAUGUGGAUGGAAGGAAAUGCUUUCUAAUUGUAUCAGAUUUCACUCCUGAAGGCGGAACCAUCAGGAGGCAUAUAGAUUCACAAAUAAGGGGUUUGUGGCAGGAGGUUGACCUCACAUCACUGUAGGAGCUCAUUUCACAGGCCCCGUAAGGCUUUUGUCUUCUGGGGAUUCUGGGCAAUGUCAUGCAGCCCAGGCAGAUCAAGCCACUACAAACCCAUAGGCCACACUAACUAUGCAUAAAAUCCAGAUGUAAUAAAAGAAAGUACUGAUAAAUAACUUGACUAUAUUUUUAAAUUUUUUAUAGCAAAAAUAAAGCCAUAAACAAAGUCAAAAGAUGAGUGACAAGUCUGGAGAAAAUAUUUCCAACACAGAUCACAUGCAAGGGCUAAUAGCCAUACUCUACCAAAACUUUUAGAAAUUAAAGAAAAACAGGGCUGAAAACGCAUCACAAAAAAAGGACAAUGACAUAACCAGAUAAUUCACACGAAAAAGUUAAAAUGACCCCUAAACAUGAAAAGAUGUUUCUUAUGAAUUGCAUUCCACCAACCCCCCGCCCCCACCAAUUUCUAUGCUGAGGUCCUGACCCCAGAACCUUAGAAUAUGACUCUGUUCAGACAUGGAGGCUUUUAAAGAGUUAGUUAAGUCCAAAUGAGAUUGUUCAGUUUAAACAUACCUGGGGUCCUUAUCAGAAGAGAUUAAGGUACACACACACACACACACACACACACACACACACACACACACACACUCAACUGGGGCGACCAUGUGGGGACAUGGGGAAAAGAUGGCUAUGUACACACCAAGGAGAGAGGCCUUGGGAGGAACUGGCCCUGCCACACCUGGAUCUGACUCCAGCCUCCAGAGCUGGGAGAGAAUACACCUCUGAUGUUUAAGUCUGUGGUGCUUUGUAAUGGCAGCCCGGUGAAUGGAUACAAUGUUCAUUUUCAUUCACAGUAAGAAAAUGCAAAUUAAAACAAUGCGGAGAUGUCAUUUAUCACCUAUCAUCCUGCCAAAAAUUGCAGAGCUUAGCCACACCACCCACAAUUUGGCUACACGAGCAUGCCCAUGCACUGCCUGUCAGACUGCAAAUGGUACCAUCAUUACAAAGGGGAAUGUGGCAACAUCUAACAAAACUUAACUACCUGCCCGUUUGUCUUUUGUUCUAGAAAUCCCACUCACAGGAAUCUAUCCUAAGGAAGUACCUGAGACAAUACAAACUAUAUAUACACACAGUGGUUACUCAGUAAAGCAUUGUUUGUGAUAGAAAACUGUUGGAAGUUGGCUAGGUGCCCACAUCCAGGAGACUGUUUGAAUCAAAGAUGGUGUACCCACAAACAGUCCUAUGCAGCUAUAAAAGAAUAACCCGAAGGUCUCUGUGAACCAACAUGGGGUGAGUGCUAGGACAUGAAGGUGUAUUGUAAAGUGGAAAAAGCCAAGUGCCAAAGGGCAUGUGAAGCACACAGCCUUCUAGGUGAGACAGAAAGGAUGAUAAGGAAAUGUACGUUGUCUGCCUAUUUCUGCAAGAAGAAACACAGGAAGGAUAAAUCGGAGUCUAAAGAGCUUCGUCACCCACAGGGGUAGGCUGGGGAGGAAGUUAGACCCCCUCCCCACAGCAUACCUUCUUUUAUGUUGUUGUUUUUUUCCAGAUUCAUUUAUUUAUUUUAGAAGAGGAGAGAGAGAGAGCAGGGGGAGGGGGAGAGGGACUGGGAGAGAGAAUCUUCCAGCUGACUCCCUGAUGAGCCUGGAGGAGCCCGGCAUGGGGCUCCAUCCCACGACCGUGAGAUCCUGACCUGAGCCGAAGGCAGACGCUUUAACCGACUGAGCCACCCAGGUGUCCCCACCCUUCACCCUUUUCUGUUACAGGCUUUAUGAUAUUUACAUUUAACAGUUAAUAUGUAGAUUCAGUAAAAGUUAAGCUUCUGUCACUUUAAGCUGUACCAGUCAAAGGUACUUCCUCAGGCUCCUUGCAUGAGCUCAGGCUUGGGUCAGAUUGACCUGGGUUCAAACCCACAGCAGGGCCAUGUCACAGCCCUGUGACAGGAACCUCCUAUGGGAACUCUUGGAAACAUGCCUGGGGCCAUGGUGUGGGGAGGAGUAACUUGCCAGGCUGAAGGCCAGGGGUCCCCACGAUGCCCAAAGGGCUGCCAUAGGCAUCCACAUUCUAGAGACAGACCCCUACUCCCUUCAAUUGGCUAGAGAUGCUCCAAUGAUCAAACUGUUCUCCCGCUGUAUCCCUACAUGCUGAGGAUGUGGUAGAAAAGCCAACAGUGAGAGCCAUUUCCUACACUGCAGACCGGAGUCAGGUCUCACCCCUGACAUCUCUGGCCAUUUGCCUGGAGGUACCCAAAUGUAACAAGGGAGGCCCAGAGCCAGCCAGGCCAGUCAGACACUGACUGUGCAGCCCAGCUCUCCUCGUGUGUGUGUGUGUGUGUGUGUGUGUGUGUGUGUGUGUGUGUGUGUGUACAGGGGUCUCAUGCAGGGUGAUGAUGGGUCCGAUGCCCGGUGGGUGGAUCAUGCUCACACCCCAGGUCAAGGCUGGCUGGGUGCGAUGGGGUGUGGGGGGCUGGGAGCUUCUGCUCAGGGUUUAUCCCGAGAGCUCCACAGGUAUGGGUCACUGUCUGGGGUGUUGGGCUAUGCACGCACAGGUGUGUGUCUGAUCUGGGAGCAACAGGGGGACUGGACAGUGUGACAGUGAGGACGGCCGGGCAGGGCUGUGAUGCCUCCGGGCCGGCUACCCCUCACUGUCUUUGCAGUAGUCAACGGAUGUAAUGGACUAGAGGAUGGCAGACACCCACUCCAUCUCUAUGACCUGGGGCGUGACCCCAUAGGGCUGUCCAGGAGCAGGAGCUGAGUAUUGCCGGGGAAGGCCUCUGACAUCACCCAGACCACUGUCUGUGGUAGUCGUUCAGUAGAUUG
This 4006-nucleotide long non-coding RNA is filed under the name Zalophus californianus (California sea lion). RNAcentral describes it as "lncRNA (ENSZCAG00015012592.1)". The record is from RNAcentral. Lineage: Eukaryota; Metazoa; Chordata; Mammalia; Carnivora; Otariidae.